GACGAACGCUGGCGGCGUUCUUAACACAUGCAAGUCGAACGGAAAGGCCCUGCUUUUGUUGGGUGCUCGAGUGGCGAACGGGUGAGUAACACGUGAGUAACCUGCCCUUGACUUUGGGAUAACUUCAGGAAACUGGGGCUAAUACCGGAUAGGAGCUCCUGCUGCCUGGUGGGUGUUGGAAAGUUUCGUCGGUUGGGGAUGGACUCGCGGCUUAUCAGCUUGUUGGUGGGUUAGUGGCUUACCAAGGCUUUGACGGGUAGCCGGCCUGAGAGGGUGACCGGCCACAUUGGGACUGAGAUACGGCCCAGACUCCUACGGGAGGCAGCAGUGGGGAAUAUUGCACAAUGGGCGGAAGCCUGAUGCAGCAACGCCGCGUGCGGGAUGACGGCCUUCGGGUUGUAAACCGCUUUCGCCUGUGACGAAGCGUGAGUGACGGUAAUGGGUAAAGAAGCACCGGCUAACUACGUG
This 468-nucleotide ribosomal RNA is filed under the name uncultured bacterium. Its description in RNAcentral is "partial 16S ribosomal RNA". It matches the Rfam family "Bacterial small subunit ribosomal RNA", at positions 28 to 507 of the family's 1533-position model. The record is from RNAcentral.